Molecule: long non-coding RNA, 281 nt
Filed under: Homo sapiens (human)
Lineage: Eukaryota; Metazoa; Chordata; Mammalia; Primates; Hominidae
Description: HSALNT0067286
Source: RNAcentral
GUCUACUAUUUGCAAGAAUUGCUGCGUAUUUUCUAGGAAGAAGUCCACUGCUUUAGUCCUAUUCUGAAAGGCAUUUGGUGUUAGACACAAGAGAACAGGUUCCCUGCUGACAUUUUCAGAGGCCCGUGCCCUUCGGUCUUCAGGUGAGGCUGGGCUUGAGGGAGGCUUUGUGGAACGGUGAGAAGAACAGCGUGACUAAGGCACAGAAGGCUGAGUGAUGCCCUGCAGUGCUUUUGUAGGGUUGGAGGCCAGCUGGGAAAGAAGGAACCCUUGCGUUAGAG